UGUUAUUGACGUUGAGGGAGGGGAAAGCAUUGGGGAGCGAAACAGGAUUAGGAUACCCUGGUAGUUCAUGCCGUAAACGUUGGGCAGUAGGUGUGGGGGACAUUGCACGUUUUCCGCGCCGUAGGUAACGCAUUAAGUGCCCCGCCUGGGGAGUACGGCCGCAAGGAUAAAACUCAAAGGAAUUGACGGGGGCCCGCACAAGCGGCGGAGCAUGCGGAUUAAUUCGAUGCAACGCGAAGAACCUUACCAAGGCUUGACAUUCACCGGACCGCCCCAGAGAUGGGGUUUCCCUUCGGGGCUGGUGGACAGGUGGUGCAUGGUUGUCGUCAGCUCGUGUCGUGAGAUGUUGGGUUAAGUCCCGCAACGAGCGCAACCCUCGUUCUAUGUUGCCAGCACGUGAUGGUGGGGACUCAUAGGAGACUGCCGGGGUCAACUCGGAGGAAGGUGGGGAGGACGUCAAAUCAUCAUCCCCCUUAUGUCUUGGGCUUCACGCAUGCUACAAUGGCCGGUACAAAGGGUUGCGAUACUGUGAGGUGGAGUUAAUCCCAAAAAGCCGGUCUCAGUUCGGAUUGAGGUCUGCAACUCGACCUCAUGAAGUAGGAGUCGUUAGUAAUCGCAGAUCAGCAACGCUGCGGAGAAAACACUCCCCCGCCCAGUACACACCCCCC
RNAcentral lists this ribosomal RNA (668 nucleotides) under Kocuria rosea subsp. polaris. Its description in RNAcentral is "bacterial SSU rRNA". It matches the Rfam family "Bacterial small subunit ribosomal RNA", at positions 735 to 1395 of the family's 1533-position model. The record is from RNAcentral. Lineage: Bacteria; Bacillati; Actinomycetota; Actinomycetes; Micrococcales; Micrococcaceae.